UGGUACAGAUAUGGGGAUAAAAGGAAUCUUUUUCUGCUAUUAAGUUUAUCAGAAAAGCCCCAAUAGUUAAAUAUUUGUUUUCAGUAGAGGGUAUAAUAAGGGAAAAUUAUAUAACAUUAUAUGCCAAAUAGGAAACUGAUCUUGGUUGGAAAUAAAGUUGUAGGAAGAAAAGCUAGCCAAUUAGUGGCUGAGUAGAGGGGACUGCCUGUCGGUGGGGCUUCAUAUCAUCAACAAGAAGUGUGCUAGCCUUCUUGGCUCCUCAUUUCUUUUCUUCCUGGAAUCCCCAGUACUGCUUUUAGCCUUCUGUAACCACUGCCUUCUUGGAGGACCUGCCUCAGGCUAUGAUAGCUUGUUACGUGACUUAGAGCCUUAGCAGUUCUCUGCCUGUCCUACUGCUGUGGGAAAGGAAGUGUGUUUUUAUAAUGCUUCUCAGUUGAAAGUCUUUCCUAGUGUAAGCAUUGCUAUUUUAUUUGUAAUACUUAGGUUCGGUAAGUAAUACCUAUCUUAAAUCCUUUUAGAACAGAGAUACUAGUACAUUCUACUAAUAAUCAGUUAAAAUUAUCCUUCCCCCAUUCUCUAUCCCUUUACCCAGCUUUGUUUUUCACCAUAGCAUAUAUCAUUAUCUAUA
RNAcentral lists this long non-coding RNA (628 nucleotides) under Homo sapiens (human). RNAcentral's name for it is "long non-coding RNA NONHSAT247782". Lineage: Eukaryota; Metazoa; Chordata; Mammalia; Primates; Hominidae. The record is from RNAcentral.